UCCGGUUUGUCACCGGCGGUCUCCCUAGAGUUCCCAACUGAAUGAUGGCAACUAGGGACAAGGGUUGCGCUCGUUGCGGGACUUAACCCAACAUCUCACGACACGAGCUGACGACAGCCAUGCAGCACCUGUUUUCAGGGCCCGAAGGCACUCCCGCAUCUCUGCAGGAUUCCAUCAAUGUCAAGGGCAGGUAAGGUUCUUCGCGUUGCAUCGAAUUAAACCACAUGCUCCACCGCUUGUGCGGGUCCCCGUCAAUUCCUUUGAGUUUUACCGUUGCCGGCGUACUCCCCAGGCGGAGAACUUAACGCGUUAGCUGCGACACCGAGGGGCUAAUCCCCCCCGACAUCUAGUUCUCAUCGUUUACGGCGUGGACUAC
RNAcentral lists this unclassified non-coding RNA (376 nucleotides) under uncultured Gammaproteobacteria bacterium. RNAcentral describes it as "contains 16S-23S intergenic spacer region". Lineage: Bacteria; Pseudomonadati; Pseudomonadota; Gammaproteobacteria. The record is from RNAcentral.